UGAAAUCUCGCACUAGAAAUCCCCUUAAAAAGGAGUUGCUCCAGUCCUCAUCAGCUACCAGGACGUGUCAAGCCAUAGAAAGUGAAGUUUCACAAACCAUCCUUCCCCAUAAACGAGUAUGUAAAUCAUAACUGAUUAAACAGAAUUAUGUCUUGGUAAUUUGGAACUGGACACAGAUAAUUCUAACUACUCUUUAAAAAAUUUUUUUAAUUAUUGUGAGAGAGAGAGUGCAAGUCGGGUAGAGAGAGAGGGAGGGAAAGAAUCCCAAGCAGGCUCUGCACUGUCAGCACAGAACCCAACACGGGGCUCGAACUCACAAACAGUGAGAUCAUGACCUGAGCUGAGAUUGAAGUCUGUUGUUUAACGAACUGAGCCAUCCAGGUGCCCCAAUAAUUCUAACUACCCUUAAGUGGAGCUAUGUUGUGCAGGGAGAGAAGGUGUAUGGUGUAUACUAAGGUGUUUGGUAGAAUGGUGGAAUGAACAGCAUUGUAAAGUAGAAUUUUGGCUUUUGUAUUCUAGUCCCUAGCCACCCAUUCUGCUGCCCUUCUGGUUGCUGAUAUCCCAAAAUGCCAGGUCCGCUUUUUGCCAUAUUUUGGCAGCAUUCUAGUUGCUGGACUACCAUUGCUCUCAAAACUUGCCAGGCCCUGGCCUUUUACAAGAUGAUAAUCUAAGAAAACGGAUCACUAUUGACGUCUUCAUGAAUGCUUACUUAUUAGGGGACAUCUUCCCAGGAUCUUUGUGUAGUUUACUGGAGGUUUUUACAACAAUGACCUAAUCUAGUUGAAUGACUCCAAACUUGAGACUUCCAGGAUGCAGGUGCAUAUGCUAUCCUCCAAAUUCCAGGUGAACAGGUGGUAGACUUUCCACAUAAAAGUCCAACUUUUGAUCUGCCUAGGGCCCUAAAGAGUUAAGAAAUUUACCUUUCUCUUAGUCUUUUUUUUUUCUUAACUAUACCAAAAUUGCAAAUGAGGCCUCCCUCCCUUAUAGGUAGAAUGUUAUGGACCAAGGUAUUUUGGUAGCAUAAUGAGAUAAUAUACAUGAAGACGCUUUGAAAAAUAUACAAUCUUAUACAAACUGUAAGGUUCUAUGAUUAAAAUUAAUUUUAUCUUUUUUUUUAAGUAGGCUCCACCCCUACGUGGGGCUUGAACUCACAACCCUGAGAUCAAGUCACAUCCCUGAGAUCAAGAGUCAGAUGCUCUACCAACUGAGCCUCCCAGGUGUCCCUAAAAUUUUAGAGCACAUUAUUCAUUACUGUAUUAAUAUUACUAUAAUGGUAAUAAAAUGGGAAGCUGUUAAACACAUAUCCAUCUUUCCAACAGUGUUGUCCUAAGUCCAGGAGGAAGCUUUCAAAACAGGAGGCUGGCCAAUUGCAAACCUUUCUCUGGACUUACUCUCCUCACCCCAGACCCAGCUACUAAGGAAGCCAGUUUUGGAACAUGGAACGAUAGAUUGGAUGCAGUUAGGAGCCCUGAUCUCAUCUUGAUGUCAGACAGGAAGUAACAGCUAUAUGCCAAAGGCAGAGAUGUCCCAGACACUCCUAACAAGCUGGAGCUGGAUGGAAGGACCAGUCCAACAAACUUUCUUGGCUCUAAAAGAUUUUAAAAUUUUCCUCCAAAAUAAAGUUACGGAUAAAUGAAAGAACUGGAGAGUAAUUUGUGCUGAUGUGCACAGAGUCACUUUACCACACACUACCUCAGAGCACACUGGGGAUGUCAGCAGGGCGCUUAUCCUCCUUUGAGCAAGUUACCUCCUUCAGAGGGAUGCCAGGAGGAAAAGCAGAGGCACGUGCUAUAAGGAAGGAGUGAGUGCUGAAUGCAUCCUGGCAAGUAGGUAACCCUUGGAACUGAAUGUUCUCACCCAGGUCCUUUAGCAAUAAAUGUAUUCUACUUCUGACUCAGGUCCAUGCUUGAGGACUUGCAGGGGUAUUUUUAAGAAAAUGAGCCACCUGGGUGGCUCAAUGGGUUAAGCGUCUGACUUCGGCUCAGGUCCUGAUCUCACAGGUUCGUGUGUUUGAGCCC
Molecule: long non-coding RNA, 2018 nt
Organism: Prionailurus viverrinus (fishing cat)
Lineage: Eukaryota; Metazoa; Chordata; Mammalia; Carnivora; Felidae
Exons: 3
Source: RefSeq, a predicted model, not a curated record